AGGCUCGUAAUUUAGUAGUAGAAUGCCUGGUUUACAUCCAGGAUGUCGUAGGUUCGAAUCCUACCGAGCCUA
RNAcentral lists this transfer RNA (72 nucleotides) under marine sediment metagenome. Its description in RNAcentral is "tRNA-Val". It matches the Rfam family "tRNA". Rfam says of the family: Transfer RNA (tRNA) molecules are approximately 80 nucleotides in length. Their secondary structure includes four short double-helical elements and three loops (D, anti-codon, and T loops). The record is from RNAcentral.